Molecule: ribosomal RNA, 402 nt
Filed under: uncultured bacterium
Lineage: Bacteria
Description: bacterial SSU rRNA
Rfam family: Bacterial small subunit ribosomal RNA
Source: RNAcentral
AACGAACGCUGGCGGCGUGCCUAACACAUGCAAGUCGUGCGAGAAAAGUUCCUUCGGGAGCGAGUAAAAGCGGCGCACGGGUGAGUAACACGUAGGUAACCUGCCCCCCAGUCUGGAACAACUAGAGGAAACUCUAGCUAAUGCCGGAGGAGACCACGAUCCCUUCGGGGGUUGCGGCCAAAGAUGGCCUCUACUUGUAAGCUAUCGCUGAGGGAUGGGCCUGCGGGCCAUUAGCUUGUUGGUGAGGUAACGGCUCACCAAGGCUGUGAUGGCUAGCUGGUCUGAGAGGAUGACCAGCCACACUGGGACUGAGACACGGCCCAGACUCCUACGGGAGGCAGCAGUGGGGAAUAUUGCGCAAUGGGCGAAAGCCUGACGCAGCGACGCCGCGUGGGUGAUGAA